CACGUCUUCAGGCAAUAAAUUGGUUGUAACAGAGCUGCUUUGAACACUGUGCUGAGUAGAAGUAUUCCAACCAAGACAAUAACAACCACCAUAAGGCUGUGCAUUUUCAGAAGGCAGCUCCUAGACAGGACCUGAGAAAAACCCACUUCUUUUGCUUAGCCGUCAGUGGAAAAGUAGCCUCAGCAGGACGAGAGAUCACCUUUUC
Molecule: long non-coding RNA, 205 nt
Organism: Nothoprocta perdicaria
Lineage: Eukaryota; Metazoa; Chordata; Aves; Tinamiformes; Tinamidae
Exons: 2
Source: RefSeq, a predicted model, not a curated record